GGAAUUGAAUAUUCACUUAAUUUUGAGUAUAUAUUAUUGAUGUGCUUAUAUACUGAGACAAUGUAAUAGAAUAAAAAACAAAUUGUUUAUUGAUAGAAAUCAUUUACAUUAAUACAGAUUCUAAACGCUGAAGGUGUUAUGCUGUGAACAGAUGCACAUUGCACUCAUUUGUUUUGUAUAGUAUUCUGAAUAAUAGACUGCUUCAUUAAGCAAAACUCUCUGUGAAUGUGUGCGUGUUAAGAUACUUAUAAUUUACUUUUUAUUACAGAUUACAGUGAGUUUAUAAAAUAUUUGUUC
RNAcentral lists this long non-coding RNA (297 nucleotides) under Pan troglodytes (chimpanzee). Its description in RNAcentral is "long non-coding RNA NONPTRT004310". Lineage: Eukaryota; Metazoa; Chordata; Mammalia; Primates; Hominidae. The record is from RNAcentral.